UACGGAGGGUGCGAGCGUUGUCCGGAAUUACUGGGCGUAAAGAGCUCGUAGGUGGUUUGUCACGUUGUUCGUGAAAACCCACAGCUCAACUGUGGGCGUGCGAGCGAUACGGGCAGACUAGAGUACUGCAGGGGAGACUGGAAUUCCUGGUGUAGCGGUGGAAUGCGCAGAUAUCAGGAGGAACACCGGUGGCGAAGGCGGGUCUCUGGGCAGUAACUGACGCUGAGGAGCGAAAGCGUGGGGAGCGAACAGG
Molecule: ribosomal RNA, 253 nt
Filed under: uncultured bacterium
Lineage: Bacteria
Description: partial 16S ribosomal RNA
Rfam family: Bacterial small subunit ribosomal RNA
Source: RNAcentral